AGGAGUUUAGGUUACCAUCAGACCAAGAGCCUUCAAAGCUCUAAGCAAGUAUAAUUUACUUAACUCCUG
Molecule: transfer RNA, 69 nt
Filed under: Urotrichus talpoides (Japanese shrew mole)
Lineage: Eukaryota; Metazoa; Chordata; Mammalia; Eulipotyphla; Talpidae
Description: tRNA-Trp
Source: RNAcentral